This is a ribosomal RNA of 359 nucleotides. It matches the Rfam family "Bacterial small subunit ribosomal RNA", at positions 21 to 385 of the family's 1533-position model.
GGCUCAGAUUGAACGCUGGCGGCAGGCCUAACACAUGCAAGUCGAGCGAGAAAGGUUUUCGGACUGAGUACAGCGGCGGACGGGUGAGUAACGCGUAGGAAUCUACCCAGUAGUGGGGGACAACUUAGGGAAACUUAAGCUAAUACCGCAUACGCCCUGAGGGGGAAAGCGGGGGAUCUUCGGACCUCGCGCUAUUGGAAGAGCCUGCGUUAGAUUAGCUAGUUGGUGGGGUAAAGGCUCACCAAGGCGACGAUCUAUAGCUGGUCUGAGAGGAUGAUCAGCCACACUGGGACUGAGACACGGCCCAGACUCCUACGGGAGGCAGCAGUGGGGAAUAUUGCGCAAUGGGCGAAAGCCUG